This 987-nucleotide ribosomal RNA is filed under the name uncultured Verrucomicrobiota bacterium. Its description in RNAcentral is "bacterial SSU rRNA". It matches the Rfam family "Bacterial small subunit ribosomal RNA", at positions 364 to 1336 of the family's 1533-position model. Lineage: Bacteria; Pseudomonadati; Verrucomicrobiota. The record is from RNAcentral.
UUUCUCAAUGGGGGAAACCCUGAGGGAGCGACGCCGCGUGGAGGAUGAAGGUCUUCGGGUUGUAAACUCCUGUCAUUUGAGAACAAAUUGGACGCAGUAACUACGCGUCCAUUGAUAGUAUCAGAAGAGGAAGGGACGGCUAACUCUGUGCCAGCAGCCGCGGUAAUACAGAGGUCCCAAGCGUUGUUCGGAUUCAUUGGGCGUAAAGGGUGCGUAGGUGGCGCCGUAAGUGGGGUGUGAAAUUUCGGAGCUUAACUCCGAAACUGCAUUCCAUACUACGGUGCUUGAGGACUGGAGAGGAGACUGGAAUUCAUGGUGUAGCAGUGAAAUGCGUAGAGAUCAUGAGGAAGACCAGUGGCGAAGGCGGGUCUCUGGACAGUUCCUGACACUGAUGCACGAAGGCCAGGGGAGCAAACGGGAUUAGAUACCCCGGUAGUCCUGGCAGUAAACGGUGCACGUUUGGUGUGGGAGGAUUCGACCCCUUCUGCGCCGGAGCUAACGCGUUAAACGUGCCGCCUGGGGAGUACGGUCGCAAGAUUAAAACUCAAAGAAAUUGACGGGGGCCCGCACAAGCGGUGGAGUAUGUGGCUUAAUUCGAUGCAACGCGAAGAACCUUACCUGGCCUUGACAUGCAUCUCUAAGCGCGUGAAAGCGCGUGAGUCUCGAAAGAGACAAUUUGCACAGGUGCUGCAUGGCUGUCGUCAGCUCGUGUCGUGAGAUGUUGGGUUAAGUCCCGCAACGAGCGCAACCCCUGUGAACUGUUGCCACCGGCCCGCGAGGGUCGAGCACUCUGUUCAGACUGCCCUGUGAAACGGGGAGGAAGGUGGGGACGACGUCAAGUCAGUAUGGCCCUUACGGCCAGGGCUGCACACGUACUACAAUGCCCAGUACAGAACGAUCCGAGACCGCAAGGUGGAGGUAAUCUCUCAAAACUGGGCCCAGUUCGGAUUGGAGUCUGCAACUCGACUCCAUGAAGCCGGAAUCGCU